RNAcentral lists this ribosomal RNA (1181 nucleotides) under Salmonella enterica. Its description in RNAcentral is "bacterial LSU rRNA". It matches the Rfam family "Bacterial large subunit ribosomal RNA", at positions 1 to 1212 of the family's 2925-position model. RNAcentral also lists the same sequence under 1 other name. Lineage: Bacteria; Pseudomonadati; Pseudomonadota; Gammaproteobacteria; Enterobacterales; Enterobacteriaceae. The record is from RNAcentral.
GGGUUGUGAGGUUAAGCGACUAAGCGUACACGGUGGAUGCCCUGGCAGUCAGAGGCGAUGAAGGGCGUGCUAAUCUGCGAUAAGCGCCGGUAAGGUGAUAUGAACCGUUAUAACCGGCGAUACCCGAAUGGGGAAACCCAGUGUGACUCGUCACACUAUCAUUAACUGAAUCCAUAGGUUAAUGAGGCGAACCGGGGGAACUGAAACAUCUAAGUACCCCGAGGAAAAGAAAUCAACCGAGAUUCCCCCAGUAGCGGCGAGCGAACGGGGAGGAGCCCAGAGCCUGAAUCAGCAUGUGUGUUAGUGGAAGCGUCUGGAAAGGCGCGCGAUACAGGGUGACAGCCCCGUACACAAAAGCGCAUGUGCUGUGAGCUCGAUGAGUAGGGCGGGACACGUGGUAUCCUGUCUGAAUAUGGGGGGACCAUCCUCCAAGGCUAAAUACUCCUGACUGACCGAUAGUGAACCAGUACCGUGAGGGAAAGGCGAAAAGAACCCCGGCGAGGGGAGUGAAAAAGAACCUGAAACCGUGUACGUACAAGCAGUGGGAGCACAGGUUUACCUGUGUGACUGCGUACCUUUUGUAUAAUGGGUCAGCGACUUAUAUUCUGUAGCAAGGUUAACCGUAUAGGGGAGCCGUAGGGAAACCGAGUCUUAACCGGGCGUUAAGUUGCAGGGUAUAGACCCGAAACCCGGUGAUCUAGCCAUGGGCAGGUUGAAGGUUGGGUAACACUAACUGGAGGACCGAACCGACUAAUGUUGAAAAAUUAGCGGAUGACCUGUGGCUGGGGGUGAAAGGCCAAUCAAACCGGGAGAUAGCUGGUUCUCCCCGAAAGCUAUUUAGGUAGCGCCUCGUGAAUUCAUCUCCGGGGGUAGAGCACUGUUUCGGCUAGGGGGCCAUCCCGGCUUACCAACCCGAUGCAAACUGCGAAUACCGGAGAAUGUUAUCACGGGAGACACACGGCGGGUGCUAACGUCCGUCGUGAAGAGGGAAACAACCCAGACCGCCAGCUAAGGUCCCAAAGUCAUGGUUAAGUGGGAAACGAUGUGGGAAGGCCCAGACAGCCAGGAUGUUGGCUUAGAAGCAGCCAUCAUUUAAAGAAAGCGUAAUAGCUCACUGGUCGAGUCGGCCUGCGCGGAAGAUGUAACGGGGCUAAACCAUGCACCGAAGCUGCGGCAGCGAC